UGCCACACUGGGACUGAGACACGGUCCAGACUCCUACGGGAGGCAGCAGUAGGGAAUAUUGCACAAUGGAGGAAACUCUGAUGCAGCGACGCCGCGUGAGSAUGAAGGCCUUCGGGUUGUAAAGCUCUGUGAUAGGGGAAGAUAAUGACGGUACCCUAUCAGAAAGGACCGGCUACUUCGUGCCAGCAGCCGCGGUAAUACGAGGGUCCAAGCGUUGUUCGGAAUUACUGGGCGUAAAGCGGGUGUAGGCGGCUAGGUUAGUCGGAUGUGAAAGCCCAGGGCUCAACCCUGGAAGUGCAUCCGAUACUGCCUAGCUUGAAUACUGGAGAGGGAAGUGGAAUUCCUGGUGUAGCGGUGAAAUGCGUAGAUAUCAGGAGGAACAUCGGUGGCGAAGGCGGCUUCCUGGCCAAGUAUUGACGCUCAGACCCGAAAGCGUGGGUAGCAAACAGGAUUAGAUACCCUGGUAGUCCACGCCGUAAACUAUGGACACUUGGUGUUGGAGGUAUUGACCCCUUCAGUGCCGGAGCUAACGCGUUAAGUGUCCCGCCUGGGGAGUACGGUCGCAAGAUUAAAACUCAAAGAAAUUGACGGGGGCCCGCACAAGCGGUGGAGCAUGUGGUUUAAUUCGAUGCAACGCGAAAUACCUUACCUGGGUUUGAAUUGCAGUGGACCACGCCAGAGAUGGCGUUUCUCUUCGGAGUCGCUGUGAAGGUGCUGCAUGGCUGUCGUCAGCUCGUGUCGUGAGAUGUUGGGUUAAGUCCCGCAACGAGCGCAACCCUUACCUUUAGUUGCCAGCAUUCAGUUGGGCACUCUAAAGGGACUGCCGACGUUAAGUCGGAGGAAGGUGAGGAUGACGA
RNAcentral lists this ribosomal RNA (857 nucleotides) under uncultured delta Proteobacterium CtaxPhil-2. RNAcentral describes it as "bacterial SSU rRNA". It matches the Rfam family "Bacterial small subunit ribosomal RNA", at positions 306 to 1185 of the family's 1533-position model. The record is from RNAcentral. Lineage: Bacteria; Deltaproteobacteria.